ACCAAACUGUCUUGCAUCUGGCAAGAGAAAUGCUGUGGGCUGGAUAAAAGCUUUUUCAGCUUGUGUUCCUUCCUGUUUCAGUUUCCAAACUUGCAUUAUCGGUAACCUGAAAUAUGAUGAGUUUCACCAAAUUCCUGGAUAUUGCACAAGAGGACAAUGAGUCUAUUUCGGGUCCUGUGAAUGUGUCUGGCACGGACCCUGGAAGUCAUUGUUUUCAGGAGGGAGCAGAUUUGGGGUUUCCUGGUGCUUUCCUUCUGGGGUCUCAGAGCCCCCAAAGGUACCAGGGGUGGGAGUGCUCUCCAUGGCAACCAUCCAGACUGCAUCUAAAAGGACACGCGUGGAAACACCAGGAAUUCGUGGAGGACUUCAUGGAGGUCCUCACCUUGGAUACUGAGUUCUCAGAGCAUUUCCAUGGCGGUUAAUUUGUUGCUGUCUGGCUGGGCUACCAUGGAUGCUAGGGAAAAGGGAUGGAAUCUCAAGAGCCAGGAAAUGAAGAGGCCAGGAUAAAACAGUGUGGAGCUCAGCAGCUGCUGCCAGCUGUUCUCGAGCCAGAUAGUGAGGUGGGCUAUCCUCUACCUGAGGGGCUGCGGUGCAGUCGCGGAAGAUAAUAUGAUGGCAAAGAGACCGAAGGGAGAGACCCCAGUUAAGGCUGAGCACUCCCAGAAACCAGGAUGGCCUGGUGGCAUUUGUCCUGACAGCUGCUGAGGGCUUCAACUUCCAGAAAAGCCAUUUGCUCAGGCUUGCCCUGUCUGGCCAACUUCGAAUCACUUAAAGGACCCUGGUUGGCCUCUGAGGUCCCCCUCUCUGCACCUGAACCCUCCCAUCUUUGGAAGACAAGGCAAGUUCCUAGGAGACAUUCGCCCCACCGUCUGUCUCGAAGCUGCUGCUGUAACCUUCCCACAGUAGUCAACAUCAGCUGGCAAAUCCCUAAAUUAAGGUUCUGUUUACUCUGUUGUUCCAAAGGCUUGUUUUGAGCAAGAGGCUGUGCUUUAAUUAAAAAGAUGAG
Long non-coding RNA from Bos taurus (domestic cattle), 1006 nucleotides. The record is from Ensembl. NCBI's taxonomy places the organism in Eukaryota, Metazoa, Chordata, Mammalia, Artiodactyla, Bovidae.